AUACAUUCCUAUCUGAACAUACUCAGCUCCAUCUCAAGACCACGGGAGAUUCGGAUUGAACUCCUCAGGUUUUAGAAAGUAGGCCUGAAUCUCAGCAGGUGGAUUUGACUAAAACUCAAGCAGCACAAGGAAAGGGAAAGAGAGGAAGGCAGCAAAGCACCAUGGAGCGUUUCCCCAACGUGGAAAUAAAAAGUUCCACCAACCAAAGAGUCUUCUCCUUCCUCCACCGAACAUGUCACCAGCCGCACCAGGAUCUGAGACGGAAGCUGCACGCUGAAGCUCUCGGGCGAUCUACUCCUCCGUUAUGAAUGGAAGGCACCAGCCGCCUUUCUACUUGUCUUCU
This 343-nucleotide long non-coding RNA is filed under the name Equus caballus (horse). RNAcentral describes it as "lncRNA (ENSECAG00000052539.1)". Lineage: Eukaryota; Metazoa; Chordata; Mammalia; Perissodactyla; Equidae. The record is from RNAcentral.